Molecule: ribosomal RNA, 459 nt
Filed under: uncultured bacterium
Lineage: Bacteria
Description: partial 16S ribosomal RNA
Rfam family: Bacterial small subunit ribosomal RNA
Source: RNAcentral
GCUACGGGUGGCUGCAGUGAGGAAUAUUGGUCAAUGGCCGCAGGGCUGAACCAGCCAAGUCGCGUGAGGGAUGACGGUCCUAUGGAUUGUAAACCUCUUUUGUCAGGGAGCAAAGGGCGCCACGUGUGGCGUUUUGCGAGUACCUGAAGAAAAAGCAUCGGCUAGCUCCGUGCCAGCAACCGCGGUAAUCAGGAGGAUGCGAGCGUUAUCCGGAUUUAGUGGGGUUAAAGGGUGCGCAGGCGGAAUGUCAAGUCAGAGGUAAGAUUUCGGGGCUCAACCCCGUCUUGCCGUUGAAACGGGGGUUCUUGAGUGAGCGAGAAGUAUGCGGAAUGCGUGGUGUAGCGGUGAAAUGCAUAGAUAUCACGCAGAACUCCGAUUGCGAAGGCAGCAUACCGGCGCUCAACUGACGCUCAUGCACGAAAGCGUGGGUAUCGAACAGGAUUAGAUACCCGAGUAGUC